Molecule: long non-coding RNA, 247 nt
Filed under: Capsicum annuum
Lineage: Eukaryota; Viridiplantae; Streptophyta; Magnoliopsida; Solanales; Solanaceae
Description: long non-coding RNA (CANN_LNC013904)
Source: RNAcentral
AGUGCUCCUCUUGUUCUUUAUGUGCUCAAUUCUAUGAGGAAGGGAAAUGGAUACCUUGGCUUGUGCUUCUAAUUCUGAGGAGGAGGACCUUGGUAAAAGACUUCUUGAAAUUAGGAACGAGCUGUUUCAACAGUUCCCUUCUUCUAAAAAGGUGCUUCUGGAGAAACUUGAGGUGAGAUUAUUUUCUUUUAUCUUUCCAUCUAUUUACCCACAUAAACCUAUGAAUCCAAAUAAUACAAUGUUCAAG